Leopardus geoffroyi (Geoffroy's cat) is the source of this 2895-nucleotide long non-coding RNA. RefSeq lists it as uncharacterized. Lineage: Eukaryota; Metazoa; Chordata; Mammalia; Carnivora; Felidae. The transcript has 5 exons. The record is from RefSeq and is a predicted model, not a curated record.
UUAAAAUACACACAUAGUACUUUGUUACCCUUUAUGACACCCUUUGUCACCCAUCCUAAUGAGAUGUUUACUUAGUUUUCUCUCUCUUCCACUUUCUCUAAACUCUCUGUGACUUAAGACUCAGCCAGGUGAAAACAAACAUAUGGCUACCACAUGGGGGAUAAUGUAAAGUGUGUGCAAGCCCUAUAGGAGACAAUCUUGCCACACAUUGUGCUCUCUGUUCAAUGACAAAACUAUUAUUCACAAAAUGGGAGAAACCACACUUCCUUCUAUACACUGAAAUAAUAACAAUAAUGACAAUCACAACAACAAUAACAACAACAACAACAACAACAAUGGUAGCUACAUCAAAAUACCUUUACAUUUUAGUUUUGCUAAGAGCCAUAUCUGAUUCCACUUUGACCUUGGUACUUUCUUUUCAUAGACAGUUCUGCAUAUGGCAUAUACCAUAUGCAGAAGAAUGUUGAAAUGAUACUAAUCCUCUUUUUCUAUUCUAGGCUAUCAAAGUCAAGAAUUUAUUUUUUUUAAGAUUUCAUUUUUAAGUAAUCUCUACAAACAACAUGGGGCUUAAACUUACAACCCUUCAAUCAAGAAUCGCUUGCUCCGCAAUCAAAAGUCGCUUGCUCUACUGAAUGAGCCAGCCAGAUUUAGGGAGCAGAGUAACAAGAGACUGCAGAAGAGGUGUGAUGGAUGUAAAUAAGAGAAAGAAAAUAUCAGGAAAUACCCAGAAUGAUUCUAUAUAGGCCAUUUUAGGAAAUAGUUUUAUAGGAGAAACUUAAAUGGACACAGGCGUGCCACACUUUCCGCAGCACAUGGUAGUAACCUGUCUGACCCAAGCAAACAAGAAAACCAGGUUGGCGUGUGAUGCCUGGUGGUGGGGCAAACCCAAGGUGGAGGGCAGAGCUGGAGUGAGCACAGCAGAACAGAAGGUGCUGAAUUCCCUUUCUUGGAGUAGCUUGUGUGAAGAAAACAGGUGGACAGCCUGGUGAGAGGGAAUGCCAGAUCCCAUCCUUCCCCACGGCUAAGCCGCCCUCAGGCCAGCCCUGGCUGGGAGCCCACCACUUCCUCCAUGUCCAUAAAGAGCUCCAGAGACAUGCAGGAAAAGCCUCUCUCCUGCAUCUGCUUGGACACACCAGCUCUCUAACCACAGACAGGCCGCUUACAGACACUUUCUCCAGAUACCUGGCUCAGCUGGUCUUGAACACUCCUGCCAAGGAGUGACUCGGGCAGCCAGUAACCACAUGAAAAAACUUGCCUGUUGUUUUGACACUCGUGGCUCUUGGGAAGAUGGCAACUGUUGGAAAGGAUUGUAUGCACUUCUGAGAUUUUAUGUACCUAAUCUUUUAAAAAUAGGCCCUGGGUUUGCUAAAGCGGAUAAUGUCACCUAGUUUGAACUUGAUGAAAGCAUAGAAAAGCAAUUUAAACACUUGUAUGGUUCUCCAAGCAUAAGCGCAUGGACAGAUUUUUGAGAGGAUCUGCUGAAGCCUCCUGAAAUUUGUAUUUCAUCACAGAUAAAUGUGCAUUGUUGUUUCAAGAACUUGAUUAUUAGAUCAUCAGGGCUGUAACUAACAACAAGAGUUUUACCUGCGCUUAAAAGUGAAAUAAAUAAAUAAAUAAGUAGGCAAAAAUGCCUUAAUAGUAAUAACAAGAUCUCUCAGAAAAUGGAUAUUGUGGUAUUGUGUACUCAAACUAGUAAUACAAGUAUACUUUUUAUCAUAAGAAUUCAUAGUCUUUUCUGGAUUUUUAUGAGGUGCCCUAUACAGGUAAUUUGCUUUGCAAACUCUUUCUGCCCUAAAUUGAAAAAAUUAGGAAUUAGGAAAGCAGGUACUGAUGCGAUUAAUAGAAAAUAGCAUCUAUGGUUCAAUUUCAUAGAAUAAUUUAUGCAGUUAAGGAGAAGUGAGGGGUACUGGAGACAGCAAUGUCAAGAAGUCAGACACAGCUGGUGCCAUUUCUGCCUCUGCUGCUAAUUGCUGUGUACUUUGGGACAGUUACUUAACAUCUCUGAGCCUUUCAGUCUUGUCUUCUAUAAAAUGGAGACAAUAAAAACUACUUUGGAAGAUACUCGAGGGGACAGUGACACAUAGCAGCCACUCCUUAAGGGCAUUGUUUAUUAUCAUUAAUAACAGGGAAGAUAAUUGUCAACCAAGAGCCAAAUGUACUUUCUUUAAGUGUUAAAUAAUUAGGUUCCUAAACUGAAGUUGGUUCCAGUUGCUAUAAUGUGAAUUAAGCCAUCACGACUUUGGAUUACAGAGAUUUCUUUAUAUCCAGUAGGACACAAAUAGUUGGGAAUUUCUAGGUAAUUUUAUAAUAUGAAAUCAGUGCUUGGUGUGUAGAAAUAUUACCCCCAGAGUUGGACACAUUGUGGGUCCCUGAGCAAGUCUUUCAGCCACACUCUGCCACAGUGUUAUUAUUUCUCAAAUGCUGGAGAUGGGGAGCUACUUUCAGGCUAAAAUUAAAAGACAUCAUGGUUUUGUUUUGGAAAAAUCGAUUCAUCAAUAUGUUUUUUUUCCAUGGCUAUAAAAAGUAUUUGAAAACGAAACAAAAUAAAGUAGUAAAAAAUCUUGGUAUGUAUUUUUUCCUUGGAUAAUGAGGCUCUCAUUCAAGUGCUCUUGGAAAAGAUUAUUUUGUGCUCUGGUCAAGGUGGCCUACUUUUUUUGUGUGUUGAAGGGCUUUGCAAUUAGAAGUUAUUUGUAUUUUCCCAGGGAGUGUCCACUUUGGGAAGAAAGAAAAUUAUAUGCCUGAAGAAUAUGGUUGACCAAUUUAUUGUUGUUUAUGUCUGUGCUAGACCUAAAAGGAAAUACAUAGAAUUCAAGUUUCUUUCUUUCUUUCUUUCUUUCUUUCUUUCUUUCUUUCUUUCUUUCUUUCUUUCUUUCUUUCUUUUGGCAUGGGAAAGGG